This 1677-nucleotide ribosomal RNA is filed under the name Escherichia coli HVH 22 (4-2258986). RNAcentral describes it as "bacterial LSU rRNA". It matches the Rfam family "Bacterial large subunit ribosomal RNA", at positions 1270 to 2925 of the family's 2925-position model. Lineage: Bacteria; Pseudomonadati; Pseudomonadota; Gammaproteobacteria; Enterobacterales; Enterobacteriaceae. The record is from RNAcentral.
AUGCUGGAGGUAUCAGAAGUGCGAAUGCUGACAUAAGUAACGAUAAAGCGGGUGAAAAGCCCGCUCGCCGGAAGACCAAGGGUUCCUGUCCAACGUUAAUCGGGGCAGGGUGAGUCGACCCCUAAGGCGAGGCCGAAAGGCGUAGUCGAUGGGAAACAGGUUAAUAUUCCUGUACUUGGUGUUACUGCGAAGGGGGGACGGAGAAGGCUAUGUUGGCCGGGCGACGGUUGUCCCGGUUUAAGCGUGUAGGCUGAUUUUCCAGGUAAAUCCGGAAAAUCAAGGCUGAGGCGUGAUGACGAGGCACUACGGUGCUGAAGCAACAAAUGCCCUGCUUCCAGGAAAAGCCUCUAAGCAUCAGGUAACAUCAAAUCGUACCCCAAACCGACACAGGUGGUCAGGUAGAGAAUACCAAGGCGCUUGAGAGAACUCGGGUGAAGGAACUAGGCAAAAUGGUGCCGUAACUUCGGGAGAAGGCACGCUGAUACGUAGGUGAAGUCCCUUGCGGAUGGAGCUGAAAUCAGUCGAAGAUACCAGCUGGCUGCAACUGUUUAUUAAAAACACAGCACUGUGCAAACACGAAAGUGGACGUAUACGGUGUGACGCCUGCCCGGUGCCGGAAGGUUAAUUGAUGGGGUUAGCGGUAACGCGAAGCUCUUGAUCGAAGCCCCGGUAAACGGCGGCCGUAACUAUAACGGUCCUAAGGUAGCGAAAUUCCUUGUCGGGUAAGUUCCGACCUGCACGAAUGGCGUAAUGAUGGCCAGGCUGUCUCCACCCGAGACUCAGUGAAAUUGAACUCGCUGUGAAGAUGCAGUGUACCCGCGGCAAGACGGAAAGACCCCGUGAACCUUUACUAUAGCUUGACACUGAACAUUGAGCCUUGAUGUGUAGGAUAGGUGGGAGGCUUUGAAGUGUGGACGCCAGUCUGCAUGGAGCCGACCUUGAAAUACCACCCUUUAAUGUUUGAUGUUCUAACGUUGGCCCCUAAUCGGGGUUGCGGACAGUGUCUGGUGGGUAGUUUGACUGGGGCGGUCUCCUCCUAAAGAGUAACGGAGGAGCACGAAGGUUGGCUAAUCCUGGUCGGACAUCAGGAGGUUAGUGCAAUGGCAUAAGCCAGCUUGACUGCGAGCGUGACGGCGCGAGCAGGUGCGAAAGCAGGUCAUAGUGAUCCGGUGGUUCUGAAUGGAAGGGCCAUCGCUCAACGGAUAAAAGGUACUCCGGGGAUAACAGGCUGAUACCGCCCAAGAGUUCAUAUCGACGGCGGUGUUUGGCACCUCGAUGUCGGCUCAUCACAUCCUGGGGCUGAAGUAGGUCCCAAGGGUAUGGCUGUUCGCCAUUUAAAGUGGUACGCGAGCUGGGUUUAGAACGUCGUGAGACAGUUCGGUCCCUAUCUGCCGUGGGCGCUGGAGAACUGAGGGGGGCUGCUCCUAGUACGAGAGGACCGGAGUGGACGCAUCACUGGUGUUCGGGUUGUCAUGCCAAUGGCACUGCCCGGUAGCUAAAUGCGGAAGAGAUAAGUGCUGAAAGCAUCUAAGCACGAAACUUGCCCCGAGAUGAGUUCUCCCUGACUCCCUGAGAGUCCUGAAGGAACGUUGAAGACGACGACGUUGAUAGGCCGGGUGUGUAAGCGCAGCGAUGCGUUGAGCUAACCGGUACUAAUGAACCGUGAGGCUUAACCUU